Molecule: ribosomal RNA, 541 nt
Filed under: uncultured archaeon
Lineage: Archaea
Description: bacterial SSU rRNA
Rfam family: Archaeal small subunit ribosomal RNA
Source: RNAcentral
GUCAGCAGCCGCGGGAACACCGGCGGCCCGAGUGGUGAUCGUGAUUAUUGGGUCUAAAGGGUCCGUAGCCGGUUUGGUCAGUCCUCCGGGAAAUCUGAUAGCUCAACUAUUAGGCUUUCGGGGGAUACUGCCAGACUUGGAACCGGGAGAGGUAAGAGGUACUACAGGGGUAGGAGUGAAAUCUUGUAAUCCCUGUGGGACCACCUGUGGCGAAGGCGUCUUACCAGAACGGGUUCGACGGUGAGGGACGAAAGCUGGGGGCACGAACCGGAUUAGAUACCCGGGUAGUCCCAGCCGUAAACGAUGCUCGCUAGGUGUCAGGCAUGGCGCGACCGUGUCUGGUGCCGCAGGGAAGCCGUGAAGCGAGCCACCUGGGAAGUACGGCCGCAAGGCUGAAACUUAAAGGAAUUGGCGGGGGAGCACAACAACGGGUGGAGCCUGCGGUUUAAUUGGACUCAACGCCGGACAACUCACCGGGGGCGACAGCAAUAUGUAGGCCAAGCUGAAGACUUUGCCUGAAUCGCUGAGAAGAGGUGCAUGG